This 253-nucleotide ribosomal RNA is filed under the name uncultured bacterium. RNAcentral's name for it is "partial 16S ribosomal RNA". It matches the Rfam family "Bacterial small subunit ribosomal RNA", at positions 524 to 776 of the family's 1533-position model. The record is from RNAcentral.
UACGGAGGGUGCAAACGUUGCUCGGAAUCAUUGGGCGUAAAGCGCACGUAGGCGGUUUGCCAAGUCGGAUGUGAAAGCCCUGGGCUCAACCCAGGAAGUGCAUUCGAAACUAGCAGACUUGAAUAUGGAAGAGGGUUGCGGAAUUCCCGGUGUAGAGGUGAAAUUCGUAGAUAUCGGGAGGAACACCAGUGGCGAAGGCGGCAACCUGGGCCAAUAUUGACGCUGAGGUGCGAAAGCGUGGGGAGCAAACAGG